AGGUUACUAAUCAGAAAAGAUGGGGCUAAUCUAGUCACAGGAGCCCUUUAAAAGCAGAGUUCUCUUCAGCUGGUAACAGAAGGGCAAGUCAGAGAUUGAAGCAGGAGAAGGCCUUGAUGCCCUGACGCUGCUUUGAAAAUGGAGGGGCCUUGUGAGAAGGAAUGUGAGCGGCCUCUUGGAGCAGAGUGACCCCCAGCUGACAGCCAGCAAGGAAAUGGAGACCUCAUGCUGAAAACUGCAAGGCACUGAAUCCUGCUAACAACUUGAUGGCUUAGAAGACUCUGCCCCAGAGCCUCCAGGGGCCAGCAGAAUUUACCCCACUUUCACAUGCUCUGAAAAGAACUGUUUUUGAGUUGUUGUCUUUGAAGAUGCCUCGCUGAUACUGCGGAACAGCACAUCAGCUAAAAAACGGCCCCAACAACCAUUAGAUGCCUUUGCCCAUGAAGGAAGAAGCUGCUACUUCUUUGAGAACUGCCAUCUUGAGUUGAGACUGUGCAGUCCUUGGCCCUGAUGCUCAGCCCUCUUAUCUUUUCUUUGCGGAAGUCCCUGAUGAGGGAAGCCACAGGCAACUUCAUGGUAAAUGGUUUGAUGGAUGUGGCAACAGUCUGAUGCAUUUUUGAUGGAUAUAAAUAGUCUGGUGGACCCAAAUGUUUUCUCAGCAAACUCCUGGGAUGAUUUUUCUACCAAGGUUGGAAAAGAAGUUAUGUCUAGAAUCUCUUAGACAAUCUGAAACUUCCUUGGAUGUUUAAAAGGAAUUAGAAUAAAGGAACACAUUGCUAAAGUGAUGGAGAAGGAGGAGCUAGGAGAGAAAGCAGGGGCAGAGUGUCUUCAACAAAGGGACAGCACAUAUCUAUCUCAGAUCUUUUAGAUGCCUCUGAAUUAAAAGAUUUUCUUUCUGUCCUUUUCAGCCAUUGAAAUUCCAAAUUUGACUCUUUUUGAUUCACUCCAUUCUGUCUUUUUCCUUCAUGCAGGUAUACCAGGUUGCAAAUGGAAAGGCACAGAAAAAGUUCAGGAAGGCUCCUGGGUCCUUAAAUCCUGUAUUCAGGGGGCAGCCCCCUUGCUGUCCCUUGGUCGCCAGGGAAUUCCUUUGUGUAGGUUAGAGGCAGACCUAGGGCCUGAAACAAAGCAGAACAAGGGGCUACCUGUUCCCUUCCCUGUAGGCCCACACCCAGAUCUCAGCUGCCUUUAUCUCACCCCUCCUACGCAUCAACAAGAAGAAGGGAGACAGCACAGAGCUUUUGUCCCAAUGUCUAGAACAGAGAUGAUAGGAGGCCACCCACACAGGUGUCCUAGAUCAGGGCAUCAGCCAUAGAAUUUGCCAAUUCUCCUUGAAAGCUCCUGGGUUUUUUCUUCUACACGUAGUCCGAAUAGUCCUAGUUAAUAGAGCAACGAAUCACAGGAAACCAAACCUGGUUCAAAAGAAUCAUACAUCUCAGGCUAUCUUCUAUCUGAAGCUUUACAGCUGGGCCAAGCAAAACCAAGUUAAGUUUUUCUUUGGAACUCUCUAGCCUCAUGUUCUUGUUUUUGUCCACUUUUCCAAAUCACCAGCUUUCUUUGGAUGCACAGCAUCUUCUGG
Molecule: long non-coding RNA, 1576 nt
Organism: Equus caballus (horse)
Lineage: Eukaryota; Metazoa; Chordata; Mammalia; Perissodactyla; Equidae
Source: Ensembl